RNAcentral lists this long non-coding RNA (493 nucleotides) under Struthio camelus australis. RNAcentral's name for it is "lncRNA (ENSSCUG00000012317.1)". The record is from RNAcentral. Lineage: Eukaryota; Metazoa; Chordata; Aves; Struthioniformes; Struthionidae.
UGGAGAUGGAGGCUGAAAACCUGAGGGCGGACACAAGCAUCUGCUCUGCCCUCCCCAACGGCUCAGAUGAACAACGUGCACGAGGCAUCUCCGCUGCUGGCCCUUCCUCGAGAAACGGGAGGGCGCCCUCCAGUACCGAACAACCGAGCUCUGGCUUUACGACCGCUCAGAAAACGAGCAAGGCGCAACGCGGAUGCUGCCUCCGACAAGAGCAGCCGCACAGUGCCGUUGAAGGCAGAAGCGCGAGGCUUGGCUGCGUAACGCCACGCAAGGCGUGCGUGUUCUUAAAUCCGGACGGGUUACCCUCAGCCGGCGGCUUUCUAAAGCACAGGGGCAUGUUGGCGGUAGGGCUUCAGAGCAGGGUCUUCAGAUGUGGGACAAACCCCUUUGGAGGAACGUCAGCCCUUGCCACCUCUGCAGCGCUCCUGAGCGUUUUCAAGUACUCUGCCCUCCACAUCCGCGCAAUCCAGACAGGAAGCGAUGUUGAUGCCAG